This is a non-coding RNA of Gardnerella vaginalis ATCC 14019, 93 nucleotides long. The record is from Rfam. NCBI's taxonomy places the organism in Bacteria, Bacillati, Actinomycetota, Actinomycetes, Bifidobacteriales, Bifidobacteriaceae.
AACAUAGGUUCGGGGUGCGCAUAAGCGCUGAGAUUAUACCCGUUGAACCUGAUCUAGUUAGUACUAGCGAAGGGAAAAUCAUGACUACUGUGU